RNAcentral lists this transfer RNA (104 nucleotides) under Priestia aryabhattai. RNAcentral's name for it is "tRNA-Cys". RNAcentral also lists the same sequence under 1 other name. Lineage: Bacteria; Bacillati; Bacillota; Bacilli; Caryophanales; Bacillaceae. The record is from RNAcentral.
UACGGAUAAAUGUAACUGACUAUAAAUAAUUUCCAUACUUAUUGGUGGCAUAGUCAAGGUCUGCAAUACCUUUGUCACCGGUUCAAAUCCGAUUGCCGUAUCCA